Molecule: non-coding RNA, 73 nt
Organism: Stegodyphus mimosarum
Lineage: Eukaryota; Metazoa; Arthropoda; Arachnida; Araneae; Eresidae
Source: Rfam
GCCUUCGUGGUGUAGUGGUCAGCACGCUCGACGCGUAAUCGAGAGGUCCGUGGUUCGAUUCCCGGCGAAGAUG